AGCAGCCGCGGUAAUUCCAGCUCCAAUAGCGUAUAUUAAAGUUGUUGCAGUUAAAAAGCUCGUAGUUGAAUUUCGGGAUCAUCAGGUUGGUCGUGCCUCUGGUAUGUACUGAUUUCGAUGGUCCCUCCUUCUUGAAGAGCCGUAAUGCCAUUAAUUUGGUGUUGCGGGGAAUCAGGACUGUUACUUUGAAAAAUUAGAGUGUUUAAAGCAGGCAAUCGCUUGAAUACAUUAGCAUGGAAUAAUGAAAUAGGACGUCCGAUCCUAUUUUGUUGGUUUCUAGGAUUGACGUAAUGAUUAAUAGGGAUAGUUGGGGGCAUUAGUAUUCAAUUGUCAGAGGUGAAAUUCUUGGAUUUAUUGAAGACUAACUACUGCGAAAGCAUUUGCCAAGGAUGUUUUCAUUAAUCAAGAACGAAAGUUAGGGGAUCGAAGACGAUCAGAUACCGUCGUAGUCUUAACCGUAAACUAUGCCGACUAGGGAUCGGAUGAUGUUAAUUUUUUAAUGACUCAUUCGGCGCCUUAC
This 520-nucleotide ribosomal RNA is filed under the name uncultured Glomeromycotina. RNAcentral describes it as "SSU rRNA". It matches the Rfam family "Eukaryotic small subunit ribosomal RNA", at positions 569 to 1091 of the family's 1831-position model. The record is from RNAcentral. Lineage: Eukaryota; Fungi; Glomeromycota.